This 253-nucleotide ribosomal RNA is filed under the name uncultured bacterium. Its description in RNAcentral is "partial 16S ribosomal RNA". It matches the Rfam family "Bacterial small subunit ribosomal RNA", at positions 524 to 776 of the family's 1533-position model. The record is from RNAcentral.
GACAGAGGGUGCAAACGUUGUUCGGAAUUACUGGGCGUAAAGAGCACGCAGGCGGUUUGGCAAGUCGGAUGUGAAAACCCGAAGCUCAACUUCGGGCCUGCAUCCGAAACUGCCCGACUAGAGGUAGGUAGGGGAGAUCGGAAUUCCAGGUGUAGCGGUGAAAUGCGUAGAUAUCUGGAGGAACACCGGUGGCGAAGGCGGCAUUCUGGACCGACAUUGACGCUGAGGAGCGAAAGCCAGGGGAGCAAACGGG